GACGAACGCUGGCGGCGUGCCUAAUACAUGCAAGUAGAACGCUGAAGAGAGGAGCUUGCUCUUCAUGGAUGAGUUGCGAACGGGUGAGUAACGCGUAGGUAACCUGCCUUGUAGCGGGGGAUAACUAUUGGAAACGAUAGCUAAUACCGCAUAACAAUGGCUGACACAUGUCAUUUAUUUGAAAGGGGCAAUUGCUCCACUACAAGAUGGACCUGCGUUGUAUUAGCUAGUAGGUGAGGUAAUGGCUCACCUAGGCGACGAUACAUAGCCGACCUGAGAGGGGGAUCGGCCACGCUGGGACUGAGACACGGCCCAGACUCCUACGGGAGGCAGCAGUCGGGAAUCUUCGGCAAUGGGGGCAACCCUGACCGAGCAACGCCGCGUGAGUGAAGAAGGUUUUCGGAUCGUAAAGCUCUGUUGUAAGUCAAGAACGGGUGUGAGAGUGGAAAGUUCACACUGUGACGGUAGCUUACCAGAAAGGGACGGCUAACUACGUG
This 497-nucleotide ribosomal RNA is filed under the name uncultured bacterium. Its description in RNAcentral is "partial 16S ribosomal RNA". It matches the Rfam family "Bacterial small subunit ribosomal RNA", at positions 28 to 507 of the family's 1533-position model. The record is from RNAcentral.